GACGAACGCUGGCGGCGUGCUUAACACAUGCAAGUCGAACGGAAAGGCCUCUUUCGGGGGGUACUCGAGUGGCGAACGGGUGAGUAACACGUGAGUAACCUGCCCUUGACUUUGGGAUAACUUCAGGAAACUGGGGCUAAUACCGGAUAGGAGCUCCUGCUGCAUGGUGGGGGUUGGAAAGUUUCGGCGGUUGGGGAUGGACUCGCGGCUUAUCAGCUUGUUGGUGGGGUAGUGGCUUACCAAGGCUUUGACGGGUAGCCGGUCUGAGAGGGUGACCGGCCACAUUGGGACUGAGAUACGGCCCAGACUCCUACGGGAGGCAGCAGUGGGGAAUAUUGCACAAUGGGUGGAAGCCUGAUGCAGCAACGCCGUGUGCGGGAUGACGGCCUUCGGGUUGUAACCGCUUUCGCUCAUGACGAAGCUUUGUGUGACGGUAGUGGGUAAAGAAGCACCGGCUAACUACGUG
Molecule: ribosomal RNA, 466 nt
Filed under: uncultured bacterium
Lineage: Bacteria
Description: partial 16S ribosomal RNA
Rfam family: Bacterial small subunit ribosomal RNA
Source: RNAcentral